Acanthosepion pharaonis is the source of this 106-nucleotide non-coding RNA. NCBI's taxonomy places the organism in Eukaryota, Metazoa, Mollusca, Cephalopoda, Sepiida, Sepiidae. The record is from the annotation of a GenBank genome assembly.
ACGACAAUAUCACAUUGAAACACCGCUUCCCGUACGAUCACUGGAGUUAAGCAACUUCGAGUCUGGUCAGUAGAUCGGUGACGGCUUGGGAAUACCAGGUGGUGAA